CUCCUUGAAUUUUUCCCCAGAAAAUGGGCUUGUCUUCCUUUACCACAUUGCCAGGCUGCAACAAAGAUAGCUGACAGUGUAGAAGCAGAUUCCAAAUUGGGUAAUGGCCAGAGGUUCGAGAGUUUGGAGAGCUUGGAAGAAGACAGGAAGAUGAGGGAAAGUUUGGACCGUUGCAGAGACUUGUUAAAUAGUUGUGAUUAAAAGGCUGACAGAAGGAUGGACAGUGAAGGCCAGGUUUGUAAGGUCUCAGAUGAAAAUGAGGAACUUACUGGGAACAGGAGCCAAGGUUUUUUUAUUUUGCCUUAGCAAAGUAAUUGGCUACACAGUGACCCUUCCCGGGAGAUCUGUGAAACUGAACUUGAGGAUGAUGAUUUAAGGUGUAUCUGGUGGAAUGAACUUAUAAGCAGC
This 408-nucleotide long non-coding RNA is filed under the name Homo sapiens (human). RNAcentral describes it as "HSALNT0393178". The record is from RNAcentral. Lineage: Eukaryota; Metazoa; Chordata; Mammalia; Primates; Hominidae.